GCCUCUGUAGCUCAGUUGGUUAGAGCGCUGCACCGGAAUCGCUGGUUCGAGUCCUGCCCGGGACC
Molecule: non-coding RNA, 65 nt
Organism: Paramuricea clavata
Lineage: Eukaryota; Metazoa; Cnidaria; Anthozoa; Malacalcyonacea; Plexauridae
Source: the annotation of a GenBank genome assembly